This is a non-coding RNA of Manis javanica (Malayan pangolin), 290 nucleotides long. NCBI's taxonomy places the organism in Eukaryota, Metazoa, Chordata, Mammalia, Pholidota, Manidae. The record is from RefSeq and is a predicted model, not a curated record.
GGGAAUUCGAGAGGUUGAGUUCCUGUGGAAUUUUUCUCAAGGUGGAUUGGAAGUUGGUGACAUCUUUUCAAAGGCAGAGCAGCAGCCAGAGGCCCAAAGCAGCUGUGACACAGCAAAGCCACAGAGCUGUCAAGUAGCAGAGCUGGACUCAAACCGAGGCCCCCAUCUGCUUCCUAGGACUCCACUGGGGCUGGUGCCACUGAUUGAUGAGGGGCAGCCCAGGUGCCUUUCCCAGGCCUGCCCGGCGCACAGUCCCGGAAGGAAGAGCAGGAAGGCCCACCCCUGGCAAG